GGUAGCGGAUAUCCACAGGUAUGGAUAGUAUAAUACCCGUACUCAACCCGUUUAUAAGCGGGUAUUAAAUUACCCGUUAUCCCGAGUUCCGGGUAUUAAAUAUCUGCAGGUAUCAACUAUCCGUCAUAGAUUAUAUCCGCGGAUAUCCGCGGGCGCGGAUUUUUUUACCAUCCCUAAUUACAAGUAUCUUUUAACAUAGAAGUACUCUC
RNAcentral lists this long non-coding RNA (209 nucleotides) under Vigna radiata. RNAcentral's name for it is "long non-coding RNA (VRAD_LNC014827)". The record is from RNAcentral. Lineage: Eukaryota; Viridiplantae; Streptophyta; Magnoliopsida; Fabales; Fabaceae.